GACGAACGCUGGCGGCGUGCCUAAUACAUGCAAGUAGAACGCACAGUUUAUACCGUAGCUUGCUACACCAUAGACUGUGAGUUGCGAACGGGUGAGUAACGCGUAGGUAACCUGCCUGGUAGCGGGGGAUAACUAUUGGAAACGAUAGCUAAUACCGCAUAAUAUUGAUUAUUGCAUGAUAAUUGAUUGAAAGAUGCUAUUGCAUCACUACCAGAUGGACCUGCGUUGUAUUAGCUAGUAGGUGAGGUAACGGCUCACCUAGGCGACGAUACAUAGCCGACCUGAGAGGGUGAGCAGCCACACUGGGACUGAGACAAGGCCCAGACUCCUACGGGAGGCAGCAGUAGGGAAUCUUCGGCAAUGGACGAAAGUCUGACCGAGCAACGCCGCGUGAGUGAAGAAGGUUUUCGGAUCGUAAAGCUCUGUUGUAAGAGAAGAACGGGUGUGAGAGUGGAAAGUUCACACUGUGACGGUAUCUUACCAGAAAGGGACGGCUAACUACGUG
Molecule: ribosomal RNA, 505 nt
Filed under: uncultured bacterium
Lineage: Bacteria
Description: partial 16S ribosomal RNA
Rfam family: Bacterial small subunit ribosomal RNA
Source: RNAcentral